GGAUAACCGCUGAAAGCAUCUAAGCGGGAAGCCCCUCCCAAGAUGAGGUCUCACUGAGGACUUGAUCCUCCUAAAGGGCCCUGGAAGACUACCAGGUUGAUAGGCUGGGUGUGGAAGUGCAGCAAUGCAUGAAGCUAACCAGUACUAAUUGCCCGUGAGGCUUGGUCAUAUAACACCAAAGC
This 182-nucleotide ribosomal RNA is filed under the name Wenzhouxiangella sp. RNAcentral describes it as "partial 23S ribosomal RNA". It matches the Rfam family "Bacterial large subunit ribosomal RNA", at positions 2762 to 2925 of the family's 2925-position model. The record is from RNAcentral. Lineage: Bacteria; Pseudomonadati; Pseudomonadota; Gammaproteobacteria; Chromatiales; Wenzhouxiangellaceae.